Molecule: ribosomal RNA, 519 nt
Filed under: uncultured bacterium
Lineage: Bacteria
Description: bacterial SSU rRNA
Rfam family: Bacterial small subunit ribosomal RNA
Source: RNAcentral
AGAGUUUGAUCCUGGCUCAGGACGAACGCUGGCGGCGUGCCUAAUACAUGCAAGUCCAACGAGAACGUUUCCUUCGGGAAGCUAGUACAGUGGCGGACUGGUGAGUAACACGUAGGCAACCUGCCCGGGAGAAGGGAAUAACCCCGCUAACGCGGGGCUAAUGCCGUAUAAUGCAGCGGAUCCGCAUGGAUCUGCUGUUAAAGUGGGGGAUCCUUCGGGACCUCACACUUCCGGAUGGGCCUGCGCUCCAUUAGCUUGUUGGUGAGGUAACGGCUCCACCAAGGCGACGAUGGAUAGCCGACCUGAGAGGGUGAACGGCCACACUGGGAUUGAGAUACUGCCCAGACUCCUACGGGAGGCAGCAGUAGGGAAUAUUGCGCAAUGGUCUAACGACUGACGCAGCAACGCCGCGUGGGUGAUGAAGCUCUAAGGAGUGUAAAGCCCUGUUAGGAGGGACGAAACAGCGGGUUUUAAAUAAGGGCCCGUUUUGACGUAGCUCCAGAGAAAGCACCGCUAACU